RNAcentral lists this ribosomal RNA (440 nucleotides) under uncultured bacterium. Its description in RNAcentral is "partial 16S ribosomal RNA". It matches the Rfam family "Bacterial small subunit ribosomal RNA", at positions 338 to 795 of the family's 1533-position model. The record is from RNAcentral.
CCUACGGGAGGCAGCAGUGGGGAAUAUUGCACAAUGGGGGAAACCCUGAUGCAGCGACGCCGCGUGAGUGAAGAAGUAUUUCGGUAUGUAAAGCUCUAUCAGCAGGGAAGAAAAUGACGGUCCCUGACUAAGAAGCCCCGGCUAACUACGUGCCAGCAGCCGCGGUAAUACGUAGGGGGCAAGCGUUAUCCGGCUUUACUGGGUGUAAGGGGAGCGUCGACGGCCAGACAAGUCAGAAGUGAAAGCCCAGGGCUCAACCCUGGGACUGCUUUUGAAACUGCCGGGCUGGAGGGCAGGAGAGGUAAGCGGAAUUCCUAGGGGAGCGGUGAAAUGCGGAGAUAUUAGGAGGAACACCAGUGGCGAAGGCGGCUUACUGGACUGUAACUGACGUUGAGGCUCGAAAGCGUGGGGAGCAAACAGGAUUAGAUACCCGUGUAGUC